This is a long non-coding RNA of Eleginops maclovinus (Patagonian blennie), 790 nucleotides long. RefSeq lists it as uncharacterized. The transcript has 3 exons. Lineage: Eukaryota; Metazoa; Chordata; Actinopteri; Perciformes; Eleginopidae. The record is from RefSeq and is a predicted model, not a curated record.
CAGUAAUUGUGCCCAGUGCCCAGCAGCAGCCCCGGUCCUGUUUACACCUCUGCCCUCCACCUGGACCUGGGACCUGUUUCCAAGUGUGUGUUUUUAAGCGCAAGUGAAGACGUUUGGGGAAUUCGUUGCCCAGGAAAAAGUUAUUCUCAACAGGAUUGGUAAGACUGAAGAUGUCCUUGAAGAGACGGCUGCUGUCCAUGCUGUUGUGCUGUGUUUACUGCGUGGCCUCGCUCUUCUGCCUCCACCCAAACCGCAACAACUGCUUCUCCCUUGGAGCUCGGAAUCUGGUGUCAGUCGUCCAGCAGCUUUACCAGCGUGUCAUUCGGCUGCUUCGCACCACUCUCUAAUCCACAGCGCCCCUGUCUGGAUUUAUACCAAUCAUCUUUUGACACCGGUCAUUGUGGCUGUCAUAAAGCAUGUCCUCAAGUAGUGCAUUGCCAAUUAAAAAGAAGAAGAAGAAACAGAGGAAUGGCGUCACUCAGCUCUGUGACUGGGAAGUUUCCACCGACUCUCUAAAUUGGGCUUCAACGGCCCUGCUUUAGUAUGACCAUCAUUUAGAGGAGGAAAAUGUUUGUUUUUUUACCAAACAAGAUCAACAUGUUGGUUUAUGCUGUGUGAGAUGGUUAUGCGUUAAUAACGCGUUCACUUUGACAGCCCUCAAACGAAUUAAGAUAAACCCAUGGUGCAUCAACAGUAGGCUAUGACAGUGAUUGAUGACUUUUACUUCAAAGCGUAUUUCUCCUUCAGUAUGUAAAAAUAUACAGCAGGUCUGAAUAUAUAAACAGAUAAA